Molecule: long non-coding RNA, 929 nt
Filed under: Hordeum vulgare
Lineage: Eukaryota; Viridiplantae; Streptophyta; Magnoliopsida; Poales; Poaceae
Description: long non-coding RNA (HVUL_LNC017162)
Source: RNAcentral
GAGUAUAGGGGCAUAUUAGAUUUGUCUUAAGAGAAACUUAAAAGAAUUUGAUUAAGUUUAUACAAACAAUUAUUUGAUAUACACAACACCAAAAUAAUGCUAUUAAAAUCAUUAUUUAGUAUAUUUAUUAUUGUAAAAUUUUAUUUUGUUUUAUAUGUUCGUGUUGGGCUGGGUUUUGUUCGCACAAAACUUGAUGCCCGAGCCUAUACUGAAUUUUCGACUCGACUGCAUAAUCAAGCCCGAGCCUGUCCUUGGGAUUUUGGGAGUGAUCGAGGUAUAUAUAUAUAUAUAUAUGACUCGACUCCGUGAUUCUGAUGAUCAAAAUUUUAUAUUAUGCUAUUUUUAAUUCUCUCUAUUAAAAAUAAAAAACUAUUUUUUAAGUCGGAAUGGUGUUACAGUUGUUGCUAUUAGUGCUCAAUACUUACCAAUUUGGUGGUCAUCUAUGGUGGUCGUGUAGUCAUUAACAGAAUCGGUAUCAACCGGGGCCUGCUCGUUAAUCCGUCUGGCCGCGAUGGUGGAGGUGUCGGGUGGCGCCCCAGUCCUACCUCCUGCCAGCAUGUACAUUAAAUUCAUUUUCUUGAUGAGACGGUUACUCAUGGUAUUAAUAUCAUAACUUUUAACAUAUAAUAAACACACGUUCACUAAUAAUUGGAUUUAGCUAUUUAUACUGAACACUUUUAAUUUAUAACCAACUUUAUUCUUUAAUAAAUUAUAUUUUAUUUGCUUAUGGUAUAUCUAUUAGUAUAUUUUCUCUUUUAUUUUUUGUUAUUUCUCAAAGAAAUCAGAAAUAGCUAUGUAUAGGUCAUUAUUAUAAGUACAACAUGAUAAAAAUGACAUAUAUUUUUUGCUAAAAGACAUACUUCCAUGAAAAUUUUAGCAUGGGUUAUUAAGCAUGACAAUGUUUUCUUAAAUCUUGGCAAAUUGAAAAG